RNAcentral lists this ribosomal RNA (403 nucleotides) under Verrucomicrobiota bacterium. Its description in RNAcentral is "Verrucomicrobia bacterium partial 16S ribosomal RNA". It matches the Rfam family "Bacterial small subunit ribosomal RNA", at positions 355 to 776 of the family's 1533-position model. Lineage: Bacteria; Pseudomonadati; Verrucomicrobiota. The record is from RNAcentral.
UGGGGAAUAUUGCACAAUGGGGGAAACCCUGAUGCAGCGACGCCGCGUGAGCGAAGAAGGCUUUCGAGUCGUAAAGCUCUGCCCUAUGAGAAGAUAAUGACGGUAUCAUAGGAGGAAGCCCUGGCUAAAUACGUGCCAGCAGCCGCGGUAAUACGUAUGGGGCGAGCGUUGUCCGGAAUUAUUGGGCGUAAAGGGUACGUAGGCGGUUUUUUAAGUCAGGUGUCAAAGCGUGGAGCUUAACUCCAUUAAGCACUUGAAACUGAAAGACUUGAGUGAAGGAGAGGAAAGUGGAAUUCCUAGUGUAGCGGUGAAAUGCGUAGAUAUUAGGAGGAAUACCGGUGGCGAAGGCGACUUUCUGGACUUUUACUGACGCUCAGGUACGAAAGCGUGGGGAGCAAACAGG